RNAcentral lists this ribosomal RNA (312 nucleotides) under Vibrio campbellii. Its description in RNAcentral is "bacterial SSU rRNA". It matches the Rfam family "Bacterial small subunit ribosomal RNA", at positions 1 to 299 of the family's 1533-position model. Lineage: Bacteria; Pseudomonadati; Pseudomonadota; Gammaproteobacteria; Vibrionales; Vibrionaceae. The record is from RNAcentral.
AAAUUGAAGAGUUUGAUCAUGGCUCAGAUUGAACGCUGGCGGCAGGCCUAACACAUGCAAGUCGAGCGGAAACGAGCUAUCUGAACCUUCGGGGAACGAUAACGGCGUCGAGCGGCGGACGGGUGAGUAAUGCCUAGGAAAUUGCCCUGAUGUGGGGGAUAACCAUUGGAAACGAUGGCUAAUACCGCAUAACGCCUACGGGCCAAAGAGGGGGACCUUCGGGCCUCUCGCGUCAGGAUAUGCCUAGGUGGGAUUAGCUAGUUGGUGAGGUAAGGGCUCACCAAGGCGACGAUCCCUAGCUGGUCUGAGAGG